AAUUCGCAGCUGGCUGCGCGGCCGGGCGCGUUCCCUUCCCCUCUCCCCGUGGUCCCGCGAGGGAGCCGCAGCUCAGCGGUUGCCAUGGCCACGGGCCGGGCCGGGCCGGAGACCAGGGGCCGGGGAGCCUACGGCACCUUGUCCCGCCCCAGGCAGGUUGGCAGGGACGGGAAGAAUCCCACGGCAGGGGGUCAGGGGAGGCCCCGAGGGACCCCGCCGCCCGGCCUGCGCCCUGGUCCCCCAGGGUCCUGCGGAAGUGCGGUGUCCGCCUCUCGCACUCAGACACCCAGUCCUGGGGCUCUGAGCCUCCCAGCCCCACAGGCCGCAGCCGCAGGCCCAGCACUGAUGGCCUAGGUGGACAAUGGGGCUGAGGGGGAGUUUCCAAGGGGUCUGGCCUCACACCCUGCCCGUCACGGCCGCCACCCCUCACCACCCCUCACCUCCUUAACCUCUCCCAGCCUUGGUUUCCUCACCUGUUAACCAGGGAUUAGUCAUAUCUACCAUACAGGCUUGUUAAGAUUAAAAUAGAAUAAUUAUGUAAUGUGCCAUGUGCACGCCAAACGUGGUCCUCUUUCCCUGUCCCCCUCCUGCAUCAGGCCUGGGGAGUGGGGCUUGCCCAUGUCACCCGCAGCCCCCGGGCCUGUAGUCCUAGACACAGGGAUGCCCUUGCCAGAGCCCCCCUCCCCGUCCUUGGGGUUACCUUGAACCCUGCCUCCUGCAAGAGGACGUCCUGCCUGUUGUCAGAACCUGCAGGAAUCCCAGGCUGCGGCCCAAGAAUAUUAGUGGAGGCCCUGCCUGGCUGGGGCUCUGCAGGUCAGACCUGGGUGCCCCUGAGAGCCACUCUGGGAAAGAUGUUUGCCAAUUGCCGAGAGCUAAGGCUGCAGGCCCUGAUUGGUGAGGGCUCAGGGAGGAUCUGAGAACCUUCCCUUCAGCUACUGAAGACCAGAUGGAGCUUUCUGUAUCACGCUGCCUGACGAUGAUGAGGGUACAGUGACCAAGAGUGCAGAUGAAAAGCCCAGCUCUCAGGUGCAGUGGUUCAUGCCUGUGAUCCCAGCAUUUUGGGAGGCUGAGGCGGGUGAAUCACAAGGUCAAGAGUUUGAGACCAGCCUGAUCAACACGGUGAAACACUGUCUCUACUAAAAAUACAAAAAUUAGCUGGGUGUGGUGGGGCGUGCCUGUAAUUCCAGCUACUCAGGAGGCUAAGGCAGGAGAAUCGCUUGAACCCAGGAGACAGAGGUUGCUAUGAGCUGAGAUUGUGCCACUGCACUCCAGCCUGGGCAACAGAGCAAGACUCCAUCUCAAAAAAAAAAAAAAAAAAAAAAGGAAAGAAAGAAAGGAGCUUCUGAGAGAUGGGUCUCCACCUCACUGUCAGAUACUCCAGGGCUUUGGAAAGAGCUGGCUGGCUGUUGGGCCUCACCUCAACUUUUCCCUGACUGGCAUUGCCAAGGAACUGUGGUGCUGUCCCUACUUCCUAUGCCCAGCUCCAUGGCUCCACCUCCCCAUUCCCCUUGCCUGUGAAAGCUCAAAAUAAGCUUUGUAGAGGAUGAUGCUUCUUGUAUGAGGGGUCAUCUGAGGUUGCUAAGACUGAAGCUCUUCACCAGAGAAACACAGGAAGCAUCCUGCAGCUAAGUGAGGCAAUGUCUGGGACAUGCCAGGCCAUGCCAGGUAGGCUCAGCCUGGGAUGCCCCUGGCUCAGCAGCCUGCCUCUGAGCCCUGCUGGUGGCCAGGCCAUCUGCUGGGCUCUCUCCCUGGGCGUCUUUCCAGCCUGUCUUCAGUGCUCAGGGCAUCUUUACCAGAGCAUAAAGUGGCAUUUCACUUGUCCCUCUGCCCAACAGCAAGGAAGUGGACAUCUCAGGCUCUUCUUGGAAGACACAAGGAAAGAAAGGAUGUGGUUAAUCUGAGAACCCACAGGACCACUGUGUCCCCCAAAUUCAUGUCCAUGUGGAACCUACAAAUGUGAACUUAUUUGGAAAUAGGGCCUUUGCAUAUGUAGUUAAGACGUAUUCCACAGGCCUGGGAGGUCAGGGCCAACAGCAUGCUGUAUAAGGGUGGUCCCAAUUCAAUGAGCGAUGCCCUUAUACCAGGGAAAUUUGGACACAGACACACAGAGGGGGCCACAUGGUGGUCGAGGCAGAGAUGGGAGGGAUGUGUCUACAAGCCAAGGAGUGCUGGCCACCACCAGAAGCUGGUAGGGGAGAGGAAGUCAUUCUUCCAUGGAGGCUUCAGAGGGAGCACAGUCCUAGUACACCCUGAGUGUUGGCCUCCUGGCCUCCAGAGCUGUGGGAGAAUCCAUUUCGGUUGUUUGAAGCCACUCAGUUUGUGACCUUUUGUUACGGCCACCCCAGGAAAGAAAUACAAUCACCAAAUGUCAAACACAGGGCAGCUAGGGAAAACAAGAAGGAAAUGCAUGAGGCGCAUACAGAAAAGACUUGGAAGAGACCAAGGAGGGACAGGAAGGAACACUUCCUCAGCUUCUUCCUUGCACCCUGACAGGAAGCCAGGGACCUGGUGGCUGAGCCUUGGAAGAAGUGACUACUUUCCUCCCAGCAAGAGCGGGUGAGCCUGGAUGUCGGGUGAAUGAGAAGCAUCUGAAUCUUGCUGGGUCCCAGGGAGACCUGUUAAUAAUGACAAACUCAUAACUUGGUCUUGUCUCAUCCUCACAGCAGGGCCUGAAGCAGGUUUUACUGAAAUCCCCAUGUAUAGAUUAGAAACAAGCCAGGGCGGUUGGGUGCCUGUCUGGGGUCAUGUGCCAGCAGCAGUGAUCUGUAACACGUGCCCAGCUUUCCCACAUCCCGCCCUCACCACCUAUCCUCUCCUGGUCCAGGACUCCUGUGCCCAUGUCCAGUGCCUUAGUGGGGCUGGGCCAACAGGCACAGUGAGCCCCCUGGCCACAGGCAGGGGAGUUGGAGCAUGCUGCCUGGGUUUGGAUCCCAGCUCUACUCUUGGUGAGCUGUGUGACCUUGGGCAAGUUACAUUACAUCUCUGUUUUGCAGUUUCCUCCACUGAGAAAAUAGGGACAAGAAUAGCAUGCAACUCGUGGAGUUGCUGGAGACCUCUGUGAGUCAAUGUGUUUCAAGUGCUUGGAAUAGUGCUUUGGCACAUUGGAAGCACAGCCAGAAAAGUCUUGUGAAAUAAAUAAAACUUGCUGGGC
Callithrix jacchus (white-tufted-ear marmoset) is the source of this 3151-nucleotide non-coding RNA. The record is from RefSeq and is a predicted model, not a curated record. NCBI's taxonomy places the organism in Eukaryota, Metazoa, Chordata, Mammalia, Primates, Cebidae.